CAGUCGCCACGGGAAUACGAGGGGGGCAAGCGUUGUUCGGAAUUAUUGGGCGUAAAGGGCGCGUAGGCGGUUUGACAAGUCUGAUGUGAAAUCUCUGGGCUCAACCCAGAGUCUGCAUCGGAAACUGUCGAGCUUGAGUAUGGGAGAGGUGAGUGGAAUUUCCGGUGUAGCGGUGAAAUGCGUAGAUAUCGGAAGGAACACCUGUGGCGAAAGCGGCUCACUGGACCAUUACUGACGCUGAGGCGCGAAAGCUAGGGGAGCAAACAGGAUUAGAGACCCCAGUAGUCCCUGUCUCUUAUAC
Molecule: ribosomal RNA, 301 nt
Filed under: uncultured bacterium
Lineage: Bacteria
Description: partial 16S ribosomal RNA
Rfam family: Bacterial small subunit ribosomal RNA
Source: RNAcentral